GGAUGACACCUCAAAAUGGGGUUUUGAAAUGCAAAACCUCGUUUUGCUUCACAAACCCCAUUCUUGGGGUGACAGGAAACUGGAUUUUUAAUUUUUAAGAAACCUAGUUUUCCUCAAAACCUGCUCCCCCCAUGUCUAUGUCUAUGCUUAGAAAAAUCUAUGAACUUAGUUAGCACUUUUACAUGUGCGUUAAUUGUAAAUAUACUAUAAGUUCUCUAUUCAUGGAUUCUCUUAUUUUCAACUGGUAGCAUAUAUGAAAUCAUUAUGCAUUUUAUAAUAAUUGAAGCAGUUGUAAAUGUGAUCGUCGCUUCCUUGUUAUGCAAUUAGUUUGGUGGUUUGGUUUAUCGAAGGAUCCUGAUGAUCCGUUUGGUAGAAUUUUGUAAAUAAACCAUGCCCUGCUCUAAGGAGAUUUUUAGCAAGGAACUACAGUCAAAGGUAAUUUUAAAAUCUAAAUGCCUUAAUGAAGAUUGGUAGCCAAAGUUUCUUAAGUUUCUUAGUGGUGGUAUAAAAGGCGAUUGUAUUUGUUGAACUAGCAUUUAGCUGUAUUUAACAUUGAUGCAGUUUUGUUCAACUGAUCAAUUUUUUAAGUAUAAAAUGAUCUUUUUCUAUUUUUUUCUUUUGAAAACAUUUGUUUUCUGCAACUAUGUUAAAAAUACUGCGAACCGUUGCCGUAUUAUAAUGACUGACUUUCUAAUCCUACUUUAUAAUGGUAAAGCCUCGUUUAUGAGGUGCUUCGCUUGUUCGCGACUAGGGUCUUUGCGAAGGAGAGAGGGAGAGAAGGAGAUGUCGAUCAUGAGAGGAGAGCCCUUGUUGGCCAGGCUAGCCAGCGUGGCCCGCUUUGUCGUCUUCCCGGCGGCCAUGGUGGCUUCCCUUCUCUACGUUCCUCCGGCUUCCUCGAAGAAGAAGGAUGAAGAGAAGUAGAGAGUUCGUUUCAGCCAGGUUCUGCCAUUCUUGCAAAUGGUUAUUCAAGUCCGUCCCAAGUGCGAGGUCUGGCAUGGGCGAACAAAUAUUGCAGGACCCAGGUGCUGGCGUCCCCCCGUUGCUUAGGACUUUGACUUUUGAUAAUAAAAUGAACUGCCACGUUUUGCAACUUCUCUGCACAUAUGUUAUGUGAUUGACUUCUUGGUUUUAA
This is a long non-coding RNA of Nymphaea colorata (pocket water lily), 1132 nucleotides long. RefSeq lists it as uncharacterized. The record is from RefSeq and is a predicted model, not a curated record. The transcript has 2 exons. NCBI's taxonomy places the organism in Eukaryota, Viridiplantae, Streptophyta, Magnoliopsida, Nymphaeales, Nymphaeaceae.